UACGUAGGGAGCGAGCGUUGUCCGGAUUUAUUGGGUUUAAAGGGUGCGUAGGCGGACGCUUAAGUCAGCGGUAAAAUUGCGGGGCUCAACCUCGUCGAGCCGUUGAAACUGGGUGUCUUGAGUGGGCGAGAAGUACGCGGAAUGCGUGGUGUAGCGGUGAAAUGCAUAGAUAUCACGCAGAACUCCGAUUGCGAAGGCAGCGUACCGGCGCCCAACUGACGCUGAAGCACGAAGGCGUGGGUAUCGAACAGG
RNAcentral lists this ribosomal RNA (252 nucleotides) under uncultured bacterium. RNAcentral describes it as "partial 16S ribosomal RNA". It matches the Rfam family "Bacterial small subunit ribosomal RNA", at positions 524 to 776 of the family's 1533-position model. The record is from RNAcentral.